UGCCCGGUGAUGAGACACAUCCUUGCACGCCUGAGGCCCUGCCCUGAGUGGUCUGGGACAGUGGGCGACACCAUGGGUCCCCUAGGAAGGCCGGGUCUGGCCUGGGCCUGGGGGCUGAGGGCA
Small nucleolar RNA from Sarcophilus harrisii (Tasmanian devil), 123 nucleotides. NCBI's taxonomy places the organism in Eukaryota, Metazoa, Chordata, Mammalia, Dasyuromorphia, Dasyuridae. The record is from Ensembl.